AUCGUUUUGAGUUUUCUAAGUGUGAUGAUUGGGUUUUCACACGACUGUGUGAGACUUGUCUCCUCAAACUUUGUUAUGAUGUCAGCACAUUAUCCAUCUGACA
Phodopus roborovskii (desert hamster) is the source of this 103-nucleotide small nucleolar RNA. RefSeq annotates it as small nucleolar RNA U13. Lineage: Eukaryota; Metazoa; Chordata; Mammalia; Rodentia; Cricetidae. The transcript has a single exon. The record is from RefSeq and is a predicted model, not a curated record.